GGGGAUUUAGUUCAGUGGUAGAGCGCUUGCCUAGCAAGCGCAAGGCCCUGGGUUCGAUCCCCAGUUCCG
This 69-nucleotide transfer RNA is filed under the name Rattus norvegicus (Norway rat). It matches the Rfam family "tRNA". From Rfam's summary of the family: Transfer RNA (tRNA) molecules are approximately 80 nucleotides in length. Their secondary structure includes four short double-helical elements and three loops (D, anti-codon, and T loops). Lineage: Eukaryota; Metazoa; Chordata; Mammalia; Rodentia; Muridae. The record is from Rfam by way of RNAcentral.